RNAcentral lists this long non-coding RNA (592 nucleotides) under Rattus norvegicus (Norway rat). Its description in RNAcentral is "long non-coding RNA NONRATT000265". Lineage: Eukaryota; Metazoa; Chordata; Mammalia; Rodentia; Muridae. The record is from RNAcentral.
UCCAGCAUUAUUCAAGAUGAUAGACUCUACACCGCAAAUAAAAAGCACAGAGAGGAAGAAUAUAAUGACUAUUUCAACUGUACAUAUAAUCUCAUGCAACAAUCACUCUACCUUGAAGAGAAACCACACAAAUGUGGAAAAUGUGGUAAAUGCUUCAGUACCUCCUCAAGGCUCAUUAAACACCAGAGAAUUCAUACUGGAAAGAAGCCUUACAAGUGUACCAUUUGUGACAAAUCCUAUAACCAGUGUGCAAAUCUUAAAAUACAUCAAAGACUUCAUACUGGGGAGAAACCUUACAAAUGCAAAGAGUGUGGAAAAUCAUUUCGUCAAACCUCUGUACUUAAAAGCCAUCAGAAAAUGCAUACUGGAGAGAAGCCUUACAAAUGUAAGCAAUGUGACAAAUCCUUUGCCCAUUCUUCCAGUUUUAGGACACAUCAGAAAAUCCAUACUUCUGAGGAACAUUGUAGUUGUCCAGAAUGUGGCAGGGAGUUUCAUCAGCUUUCACACUUUAGAAAACAUUACAGACUCCAUACUGGAGAGAAGCCUUACAAGUGCAAUGAGUGUGGCAGAUCCUUUACCCACUAUGCAUCAU